UGUUUGAUUUUUUGUUGUUGUUGUUGCACUGAUUGUAUUUUAUUUACCGAUUCUUCCGAUCUUCAUACCGGAACGAGCCAGAGCUCGGAGAGCAGACUGAGCUCCAGGGCCAGGAGUCUUGGUCCUG
This is a long non-coding RNA of Haliotis rubra (blacklip abalone), 127 nucleotides long. RefSeq lists it as uncharacterized. The record is from RefSeq and is a predicted model, not a curated record. NCBI's taxonomy places the organism in Eukaryota, Metazoa, Mollusca, Gastropoda, Lepetellida, Haliotidae. The transcript has 4 exons.